This 484-nucleotide ribosomal RNA is filed under the name uncultured bacterium. RNAcentral describes it as "partial 16S ribosomal RNA". It matches the Rfam family "Bacterial small subunit ribosomal RNA", at positions 30 to 507 of the family's 1533-position model. The record is from RNAcentral.
AUUGAACGCUGGCGGCAGGCCUAACACAUGCAAGUCGAGCGGAUGAAGGGAGCUUGCUCCUGGAUUCAGCGGCGGACGGGUGAGUAAUGCCUAGGAAUCUGCCUGGUAGUGGGGGAUAACGUCCGGAAACGGGCGCUAAUACCGCAUACGUCCUGAGGGAGAAAGUGGGGGAUCUUCGGACCUCACGCUAUCAGAUGAGCCUAGGUCGGAUUAGCUAGUUGGUGGGGUAAAGGCCUACCAAGGCGACGAUCCGUAACUGGUCUGAGAGGAUGAUCAGUCACACUGGAACUGAGACACGGUCCAGACUCCUACGGGAGGCAGCAGUGGGGAAUAUUGGGCAAGGGGCGAAAGCCUGAUCCAGCCAGGCCGCGUGUGUGAAGAAGGUCUUCGGAUUGUAAAGCACUGUAAGUUGGGAGGAAGGGCAGUAAGUUAAUACCUUGCUGUUUUGACGUUACCAACAGAAUAAGCACCGGCUAACUUCGUG